GAUGAAGAACGUAGCGAAAUGCGAUACUUGGUGUGAAUUGCAGAAUCCCGUGAACCAUCGAGUUUUUGAACGCAAGUUGCGCCCGAAGCCUUUUGGCCGAGGGCACGUCUGCCUGGGCGUCACGCAUCGCGUCGCCCCCCACAACUCUCCGUAAAGGGAACUUGUGUUUUGGGGGCGGAUAUUGGUCUCCCGUGCUCAUGGCGUGGUUGGCCGAAAUAGGAGUCCCUCCGGUGGACGCACGAACUAGUGGUGGUCGUAAAAACCCUCGUCUUUUGUUUCGUGCCGUUAGUCGCGAGGGAAACUCUUUAAAAACCCAAAUGUGUCGUCUCUUGACGGCGCUUCGACCGCGACCCCAGGUCAGGCGGGACUACCCGCUGAGUUUAAGCAUAUCAAUAAGCGGAGGA
This 404-nucleotide unclassified non-coding RNA is filed under the name soil metagenome. Its description in RNAcentral is "partial contains 5.8S ribosomal RNA, internal transcribed spacer 2, and large subunit ribosomal RNA". The stretch from base 1 to 122 matches the Rfam family "5.8S ribosomal RNA", at positions 35 to 154 of the family's 154-position model. The record is from RNAcentral.